UUAGGGGACAUCAGGGUAUAUUAGCAAUCAUCUUAUCAACUUCUGGAUAUCCUACAACCAGUCAGAAUAGCCAUUUAUCAGUCAGUUUCACAGAACCCCAGACUUUUGUGGUUUUAUUACAUCUAACCAUGGUAUACUACUCCAUAGGUGAGCACGAAAUAAAUUUAAGGUAUGUUCCCCUGUGUGUGUAUAUAUACACAUUGAGAGGGAAGAUAGUUUGACAUAUGUGUUCAAACAAAUGGAAAUAAUUUUCAGUUUGGAUGCUUAUAAUUCUGUGCCUUUGCCACUCAAUUUUGCUAAGUGGUGAACCCUCUAUUUAACCCUGAUAGAUUAAAAACUGUAAGAUCAUCACCAAAUAUUUAUUCUCUCAUAUGUAAAAUUAAUACAUUGGGUUAGAUAGUCUCUAAAAUUCUUUCCAGUUCUAAAUACAUCAUUCUAAAAUAAUAAUAGCCAGCAUUCGUAUAGCUCUUUAAGUUGUACAAAUCCAUUUACACAUCUUAUAUCAUUUGUUCCUCAUAACAACCUUGUAAGGUAAAUACUAUUAUUAAUCCCAUUUCAUAAAUGGGGAAAGUAAGGUUGAGACAGAUUAAGUAAAUUGUCCAAAGUCACACAGUAAUUAUCUGAGCUGGGAAUUUGAAUUCAAGUCUUCCUGACUCCAAGUUCAGCAAUCUAUCCACCUUGUUGCAUAUGACCAUGCUUUUGAUGCUUUAAAGAGAAAGUUGACCUCACUGAAUCAGUCAGCAUGAAGAUUGGACUCAUCAGCUUUUGAAAGUUAACUCUGGAGGAAGAAUUGAACUCUUCAGGAAGCUCUAAAUUUUUCAGGAUUAUCUCUUCACCUUUUUCCUUUAUCUCUUGAAAGAGUCAUGGUGGUGGUGGUGGUGAUUUCUUCCUACUCACUCUCUAUUGGGUAAAAGUGCAUGGAAUGAAGCCGAAGAGGAGAUUUCAAGGACACAGUCUUCUGAACUUUAGACUUUUAUAUAGAGGAAGGAGCAUUCUGAAUUCCCUAGAUGGCAUUUUCUUCAAAUCUAGUCUUUUAACCAAAAAAAGGGAAGUAAGACACAGGGAAACUGGACUACCUAUACCUGCUGUUACAGACCCUUAACCAAAGACCUGAGUUAUGUUCAACAGAAAUGCAGUCAGAUCCUAAGACUGAUAUAAGGAGCUUUCUCAUAAUUAUACAAAUCAAGUAACCUAUAUGUCUUAUCUGAAAACUGGUCCCAUACUGAUCAAUCAGUUAUUGUUUCCAUGUUCCUUUGGUUGUAUACAAAUACUUAGGGAGGAGUGGGACACCUCUUUUCCUGAAUUCAGGAAAUUGUAUCUGUUCACUCUCCCCCUCCCAAUCUGAAAAAUCCCUAAUUUUUCAUCCAGUUAGAAAUCAGAUUACCUAAUGUGGUAUUGUUUCCUUUUAAUUAAUUGGUUUUAUUUGAUUA
This 1430-nucleotide long non-coding RNA is filed under the name Monodelphis domestica (gray short-tailed opossum). RNAcentral's name for it is "lncRNA (ENSMODG00000041308.1)". Lineage: Eukaryota; Metazoa; Chordata; Mammalia; Didelphimorphia; Didelphidae. The record is from RNAcentral.